GAGUUUGAUCCUGGCUCAGAACGAACGCUGGCGGCAGGCUUAACACAUGCAAGUCGAACGCCCCGCAAGGGGAGUGGCAGACGGGUGAGUAACGCGUGGGAAUCUACCCAGAUCUUCGGAACAACUGAGGGAAACUUCAGCUAAUACCGGAUACGCCCUACGGGGAAAGAUUUAUCGGUUCUGGAUGAGCCCGCGUUGGAUUAGCUAGUUGGUGGGGUAAUGGCCUACCAAGGCGACGAUCCAUAGCUGGUCUGAGAGGAUGAUCAGCCACACUGGGACUGAGACACGGCCCAGACUCCUACGGGAGGCAGCAGUGGGGAAUAUUGGACAAUGGGCGAAAGCCUGAUCCAGCCAUGCCGCGUGAGUGAUGAAGGCCUUAAGGGUUGUAAAGCUCUUUCAGUAGGGAAGAUAAU
This 413-nucleotide ribosomal RNA is filed under the name uncultured Alphaproteobacteria bacterium. RNAcentral's name for it is "bacterial SSU rRNA". It matches the Rfam family "Bacterial small subunit ribosomal RNA", at positions 9 to 452 of the family's 1533-position model. Lineage: Bacteria; Pseudomonadati; Pseudomonadota; Alphaproteobacteria. The record is from RNAcentral.